GACUCUGUUGUAUGUUCGAGCGUGUGGUGUGUUCAGGUAUAUUUCCGCUAGCUUCAGUUGCAGAUUUGGAAAGUUUAUUUUUCUCCUUAAUUGGUUAGUUGUAUUGUUUUGUAUGAUGGUUUAAAUAUCCAUGUUGAAUCAUUAAUGUUAAUGUUAGAAAGUUAUGUUCUCACUCUAAUUCUUUUUAAUUCUCUCAUUUUUAAAUUUUCUCUACUAUUCACCAUUAUUCUUGUCACUGAAGUUU
RNAcentral lists this long non-coding RNA (244 nucleotides) under Lathyrus oleraceus (garden pea). Its description in RNAcentral is "Pisum sativum (pea) long non-coding RNA (PSAT_LNC028028)". Lineage: Eukaryota; Viridiplantae; Streptophyta; Magnoliopsida; Fabales; Fabaceae. The record is from RNAcentral.